This 253-nucleotide ribosomal RNA is filed under the name uncultured bacterium. Its description in RNAcentral is "partial 16S ribosomal RNA". It matches the Rfam family "Bacterial small subunit ribosomal RNA", at positions 524 to 776 of the family's 1533-position model. The record is from RNAcentral.
UACGAAGGCCCCGAGCGUUAUCCGGAUUUAUUGGGCGUAAAGCGUUAAAAGGUGGUUCGAUAAGUACCUGGUCAAAUCUCAUGGCUCAACCAUGAGGCUGCCGGGUAAACUGUCGGACUUGAGGGCGGAAGAGGCAAGCGGAACUACCGGUGUAGUGGUAAAAUGCGUUCAUAUCGGUAGGAACACCAAAGGCGAAGGCAGCUUGCUGGUACGAUCCUGACACUAAAUAACGAAAGCGUGGGGAGCGAAUGGG